GACGAACGCUGGCGGCGUGCCUAAUACAUGCAAGUAGAACGCUGGAGGAGGAGCUUGCUUCUCUGGAUGAGUUGCGAACGGGUGAGUAACGCGUAGGUAACCUGCCUGGUAGCGGGGGAUAACACUUGGAAACGAUAGCUAAUACCGCAUAAUAGUAGAUGUUGCAUGACAUUUGAUUAAAAGGUGCAAUUGCAUCACUACUAGAUGGACCUUCGUUGUAUUAGUUAGUUGGUGGGGUAACGGCUCACCAAGGCGACGAUACAUAACCGACCUGGGAGGGUGAACGGCCAACCAGGGACUGGAGCACGGCCCAAAAUCCUACGGGGGGCAGCAAUAAGGAAACUUCGGCAAUGGACGGAAGGCUGACCGAGCAACGCCGCGGUGAUGAAGAAGGUUUUCGGAUCGGAAAGCUCUGUUGUAAGAGAAGAACGAGUGUGGGAGGGGAAAGUUCACACUGUGACGGUAUCUUACCAGAAAGGGACGGCUAACUACGUG
RNAcentral lists this ribosomal RNA (495 nucleotides) under uncultured bacterium. RNAcentral's name for it is "partial 16S ribosomal RNA". It matches the Rfam family "Bacterial small subunit ribosomal RNA", at positions 28 to 507 of the family's 1533-position model. The record is from RNAcentral.